This 68-nucleotide long non-coding RNA is filed under the name Felis catus (domestic cat). RNAcentral's name for it is "lncRNA (ENSFCAG00000047039.1)". The record is from RNAcentral. Lineage: Eukaryota; Metazoa; Chordata; Mammalia; Carnivora; Felidae.
UCCCAGGGUGGAGGCCACGCAGAGCCUGAAACUUCUCAGGAAGUCAUGCUGCCAAGCACCGGCUGGUC